This 316-nucleotide ribosomal RNA is filed under the name Callipallene novaezealandiae. RNAcentral's name for it is "partial 12S ribosomal RNA". The record is from RNAcentral. Lineage: Eukaryota; Metazoa; Arthropoda; Pycnogonida; Pantopoda; Callipallenidae.
UAAAUUUUAUUUUUUUUGAAAACCAAAGAAUUUGGCGGUAGAAAUAUUUUUUAGGGGAGUUUGUUUUUUAAUUCGAUAGUCCUCGUUUUACCUUACUUUAAUUAAUAGUUUAUGCAUUUCCGUUAUUAGUUUAUCUAAAUAUAGUAUAAACUUUAAAUUUUUUUUAAAAAAUCAGGUAAUAAAUAGCUUAUAUUAAAGGAUAAAAUGAACUACAUUGUUUAGAAAAUUUGGAUUAAAAUUUGAAAUAUUUUUUUGAAAGGGGACUUAAAAGUAAAUUUUAAUUAGAUUGUUAAGUUGAAUUUAUAAAUUUUUAUGU